UAAAUUGGAGGUCGAACAACCACCCGGGUU
RNAcentral lists this non-coding RNA (30 nucleotides) under Rattus norvegicus (Norway rat). The record is from RNAcentral. Lineage: Eukaryota; Metazoa; Chordata; Mammalia; Rodentia; Muridae.